RNAcentral lists this ribosomal RNA (460 nucleotides) under uncultured bacterium. RNAcentral describes it as "partial 16S ribosomal RNA". It matches the Rfam family "Bacterial small subunit ribosomal RNA", at positions 338 to 795 of the family's 1533-position model. The record is from RNAcentral.
CCUACGGGAGGCAGCAGUGAGGAAUAUUGGUCAAUGGACGAGAGUCUGAACCAGCCAAGUAGCGUGAAGGAUGACUGCCCUAUGGGUUGUAACCUUCUUUUAUAAAGGAAUAAAACGAGGCACGUGUGCCUUUUUGCAUGUACUUUAUGUAUAAGGAUCGGCUAACUCCGUGCCAGCAGCCGCGGUAAUACGGAGGAUACGAGCGUUAUCCGGAUUUAUUGGGUUUAAAGGGAGCGUAGAUGGGUUGUUAAGUCAGUUGUGAAAGUUUGCGGCUCAACCGUAAAAUUGCAAUUGAUACUGGCAGUCUUGAGUGCAGUUGAGGUAGGCGGAAUUCGUGGUGUAGCGGUGAAAUGCUUAGAUAUCACGAAGAACCCCGAUUGCGAAGGCAGCUUACUAAACUGUGACUGACAUUGAUGCUCGAAAGUGUGGGUAUCAAACAGGAUUAGAUACCCGGGUAGUC